Molecule: ribosomal RNA, 499 nt
Filed under: uncultured bacterium
Lineage: Bacteria
Description: partial 16S ribosomal RNA
Rfam family: Bacterial small subunit ribosomal RNA
Source: RNAcentral
GACGAACGCUGGCGGCGUGCCUAAUACAUGCAAGUCGAGCGAAGUUUUUCCGGUGCUUGCACCGGAAAAACUUAGCGGCGAACGGGUGAGUAACACGUAAAGAACCUGCCUCAUAGACUGGGACAACUAUUGGAAACGAUAGCUAAUACCAGAUAAGAGCAUUAACUGCAUGGUUGAUGUUUAAAAGUUGGUUUUGCUAACACUAUGAGAUGGCUUUGCGGUGCAUUAGCUAGUUGGUGGGGUAAAGGCCUACCAAGGCGACGAUGCAUAGCCGACCUGAGAGGGUGAUCGGCCACACUGGGACUGAGACACGGCCCAGACUCCUACGGGAGGCAGCAGUAGGGAAUCUUCCGCAAUGGGCGAAAGCCUGACGGAGCAACGCCGCGUGAGUGAAGAAGGAUUUCGGUUCGUAAAGCUCUGUUGUUAGGGAAGAAUGAUUGUGUAGUAACUAUACACAGUAGAGACGGUACCUAACCAGAAAGCCACGGCUAACUACGUG